This 775-nucleotide ribosomal RNA is filed under the name Dorylaimus aff. stagnalis 6 JS-2018. RNAcentral describes it as "SSU rRNA". It matches the Rfam family "Eukaryotic small subunit ribosomal RNA", at positions 116 to 891 of the family's 1831-position model. Lineage: Eukaryota; Metazoa; Nematoda; Enoplea; Dorylaimida; Dorylaimidae. The record is from RNAcentral.
UUUACUAGAAUAUAGUUAUCCUACUUGGAUAACUGUGGCAAUUCUAGAGCUAAUACAUGCAAAAAAGCUCUGCCCGCAAGGAACGAGCGCAUUUAUUAGAAUAAAAACCAAUCGGGUUUCGGCCCGUAAUUUGGUGAAUCUGAAUAACUUUGCCAAUCGCACAGUCCUAGUACUGGCGAUGUAUCUUUCAAGUGUCUGCCUUAUCAACUUUCGAUGGUAGGUUAUACGCCUACCAUGGUAGUAACGGGUAACGGAGAAUAAGGGUUCGACUCCGGAGAGGGAGCCUGAGAAACGGCUACCACAUCCAAGGAAGGCAGCAGGCGCGCAAAUUACCCACUUCCAGAACGGAGAGGUAGUGACGAAAAAUAACGAGACAGUCCUCUUCGAGGUCUGUCAUCGGAAUGGGUACAAUUUAAAUCCUUUAACGAGGAUCUAUUGGAGGGCAAGUCUGGUGCCAGCAGCCGCGGUAAUUCCAGCUCCAAUAGCGUAUAUUAAAGUUGUUGCGGUUAAAACGCUCGUAGUUGGAUCUGCGGCCUCGGAGAACGGUCCCCCGAAAGGGUGGUCACUGUCUCUCCUAGCCUAAAUUCAAGUCUUCUCUAGGUGCUCUUUACCGAGUGCUUAGAGUGACUAGAACGUUUACUUUGAAAAAAUUAGAGUGCUUAAAGCAGGCGAAAUAGCCUGAAUAAGGUGCAUGGAAUAAUGGAAUAGGACCUCGGUUCUAUUUUGUUGGUUUUCGGAACCUGAGGUAAUGAUUAAGAGGAACAGACGGGGGCAU